Oreochromis niloticus (Nile tilapia) is the source of this 222-nucleotide long non-coding RNA. RefSeq lists it as uncharacterized. The record is from RefSeq and is a predicted model, not a curated record. Lineage: Eukaryota; Metazoa; Chordata; Actinopteri; Cichliformes; Cichlidae. The transcript is spliced from 4 exons.
GGAGAGAGGGCUGGCAGAAAGUUGCUGACAAAUUAAACUCGACAGUGAAGCAACCCUGUCAGAUGACUGUGGUUUGGAGGAAGUCCCUGCAAAGAGGCCGGCAGAGAGGCCUGAUACAGAGGGUGACAUUCGUUUGCUCUAUAAGAGAAGUCUCCAGCAAAAAAUGGAGUAUACUGAGCUAAAGAAACAAAAGCUUCUAGGUGAAAUCGAACUUCAAGCUCU